AGGAAUUCAAUCUAUGGAUAACCUACACUUGCUUACCCUGCUCUUUCCAGCAGAAAAAUGAAAGUUCAACCGAAGUUUAGACAACACCUAAUUAUCUAUAGGGGCAUUUCAACAUUUCAAAUAUUUAAGGAAAAGAUGCCCAUUAAACAAAUUCAGCAUACAAUCUAUAAUGACAAAAGUAUACGAGACAAAUUAUCCGUGUCAAAGUGCGAAUUUCUUAAUACGAUGAGCUGACAGGAAAUGGUCCAGAUAUAAUUAUGAUGGUCAGAAUUUGUAAUCUUCCCAAAAAGUGCAGACAAAGCAAAUUGUGACUUGUGAGAGCAGCUCAUCACAGGCCAUUAGAUAAAUGAUGCGAGCCUGAAAUGAUGCGGACAUCAUCCUCAUCGGGCCACUUGUUGGGCCAUUUUAUCUUCUAUGUACUUAUUUUAGGUUUUAUGUUUUAUUGGGCUUGUAUAUGGGUUUGGCCCAAGCCCAAGUUUAUUAAUUUGGUAUUUAUAUUAUUGUAAUUGGAUUGAAAUGGCAGUUUUGAUGAAAUGAAAUAGAUGUGGUGAUAUCGUUUCUCUCCUCUCCUCCCUUCCUCCUUCAGUUUGUUCUUCCUCUUCUUCUUUUCUCCUUGGCCAAUUCUACAUCAAUUUGGUAUCAGAGCCAAACCUGGGUGCUGGUUAACUACAUCAACCUCUUACCAUCAGUUUUGUGAGUCAGUAAGCUGUUCAUUAACUUAAAGCUUGUCCCGAAAUUUUAUCCUGUCAUCUUCACAAAUUGACCACCAUCUGCAGUCGUAUAGUCUCACCCAAAACCUGUUUUCCUUCAAUUUCAUAUUUGGAAGAGGUCUGAAAUUUUGAUACAAAAUGAUUUUUAGACAGCUACUUCAAAUCCCCGAUUGCACCACCAUCUUCCAUUACAACCCACUAUCCACACCUCAAGCCCAAUGAUAGUAACCGCCAAUAACCUCAUAGUAACUGUCAGAUCCCAAUACAACACAAAAUACACCAUCCCAGCAACCUAAAACCACCCACGAUCAUUAAAUUCACCAACCCAUUACAAACUAUACAUCAAUCUCCUGCAACCUCUAAUUAUCCAAUACCUUUCAGUAAGCCACAGAUAAAUCAUCUCCUCUGCUCUAAUCUCGCGAACUCUACUCCAGAACCUACUUCGGCUACCACCGGCAACCCUCAAAUUGCCGGCAUCCCACACAAUCGGUCCAACUCUAUUACAGAUUCCACAAAAUCGAUAACCAAACCAACACUUGUCACUCGUCACAAACCUGGCCGCCAGUCACUGCUCACAGCGUCGGCUCACCAGAAUCACUGCAGACCGUAAUUGUACAGUUGCGAAUUCCAGUUUCCUCGCGACUGCUACUCCAAAUCGAGACCCACGUAGCUCCAUCCACAAAGAAUCCACACUGUAGCCACGCCGACGACGGAUGAUACCCGCUUCAGGUUCCGUCACCUUCUGUAUCGAGCAACUCGCGUCGCCCGAAGCUUCCACCUCGCGAUCAUUGCCCCCAAAUGCAGAUUUUGUUUGGGCUGUAGUCGAUAGUCCUUGCUUUUAUUUUAAUUCUUAUGUCUUGGGCUCAAUUGUUAUGUAUAUAGUAGACUAAUCGAUAGUUCAAGGCCUCUUGUUAGUGUUUAGGCCUUGCUUUGUAUACUUUUGCUUAUUUAAUUUUGUAAGUGAAAAAAAAAAGAAAGAAAAGAAAAGAAAAGACAGAAAAGCGUUAUUAAAAAAAAAAAAGAGUUAUUUUUCAAACAUCUUUUCAGGCUUCUUCAAACAAACGAAAGGAAAGUCCUUAUUUUAAUUCAUCCUCAGUUAUAUUGCUAUUUAUCUUGAAUUGCAUCGAUUAACUUUUGUGCUGCAAUCUUUAUAUAAAAAACAUUCACGUGAUUAAACUCUUAGACUUACUAACUUUCAAUUUUGCUAUAUUUUCACUCUUUCCAUAUUUAUUUUAACCGCUUCCGCCAUAUUUAUUUUACAUGUUUAAGUUGUUGACUAGUGUUUGACCCUCGCUUCAUUAUUUUACAUAGAUCAACAGUAUCAACUUGACAUAUUUGAAUUUUCAUAAUCCCAAAAAAAGAAAAAAAAAGGAUGCUGAAGUUGUUAUUUUCCAUUUCUUGAGCUAGUUGUUUGUUGAUCUCGUCAUUUACUGCAUUCAGUUAGUGUUACAUUGCAUGCAUUUGCGUAGUGGUCGUUUUGUCAUACCAAAUUCCAAUACUGUGAUCAUGGACCCUUCUCAAUUUGAUGCCCUUACUCGACAAUUAGCUCAACUACAGGCUCAAUUAGCAACCGUCCAAACCGAGGUAACUGCUACUCGUGAAGAGAGUAGAGAACUAGCUGCUAGGGUGAACAAUUUAGAACAAAACUCCCCCUCAAUCGACGGUGAUAACUCUGAAGCGUCUCAUAACAUACCUUAUCGUUAUCAACAUGGAGGUCGACAGCAUGUUCGUCAUGGGCGAAGGAAUGGGGAACAUGAACGCAAUCAUGAGCGAGACCAUGCUCAUUAUGGUACUCAUUCACCACCUCGCUAUGAGGAGCGUUACUUUCGAAACAUCAAAUUAGACGCUCCUACUUUCGAUGGUUGUUUAGAUCCUAGAGUUUUUACACAAUGGAUUAGAGACAUGGAUCGUUUCUUUUCAUGGUAUGGAGUCCCAGAGGAUCGAAGAGUUCAAUUUGCCAGUUUGAAAUUAACUGGUACUGCCCAACUCUUUUGGGAAAGCGUUGAGGACCUUCUUGAGAGGCGUCAUGCACCUCCCGUUGGAAGUUGGGAGGAAAUGAAGCGCCGCCUUCAAGAGAAGUAUUUGCCCCACUCUUAUAGGAGCAACUUGUUGGACCAGUGGAAUACUCUCACACAAGGAAAUCGUCCAGUAACUGACUAUGUUACCCAAUUUGAUGAGCUCCGAAUGCGAAGCCACAUCGUCGAGGAUGAAGCUAUGACUUUAAGUAGGUUCAGACAGGGCCUAAGAGACGAUCUUCGGCGUGAGCUUGUCCUGCGAGGUGUCACCACUCUCGAUCACGCUUAUUCCUUGGUUCGAGAUUACGAGUCGAUUACUAAGACUUCGUAUGGAAGGCGUAGUGAUAACCGUCCAUCUAUCUCAUCGGCACCUCCUCCUCNNNNNNNNNNNNNNNNNNNNNNNNNNNNNNNNNNNNNNNNNNNNNNNNNNNNNNNNNNNNNNNNNNNAUUUUUUAAAUGAAAAAAAAAAGAAAGAAAAGAAAAGAAAAGACAGAAAAGCGUUAUUAAAAAAAAAAAAGAGUUAUUUUUCAAACAUCUUUUCAGGUACCUCAUUCAUUCAAGUUGAUUGGACGCGACUUCUUCAAACGAACGAAAGAAAAGUCCUUAUUUUAAUUCAUCCUCAGUUAUAUUGCUGUUUAUCUUGAAUUGCAUCGAUUAACUUUUGUACUGCAAUCUUUAUAUAAAAACAUUCAUGUGAUUAAACUCUUAGACCUACUAACUCUCAGUUUUGCUAUAUUUUCACUCUUUCCAUAUUUAUUUUAACCGCUUCCGCCAUAUUUAUUUUACAUGUUUAAGUUGUUGACUAGUGUUUGACCCUCGCUUCAUUAUUUUACAUAGAUCAGCAGUAUCAACUUGACAUAUUUGAAUUUCAUAAUCCAAAAAAAAAAAAAAAAAAAAAAAAAAAAAAAAAAAAAACAUUAAAUUCAACGUGGCGUUUGUGCAAAUCGACUCGAAGUUUAAAUAGUGCAUUACUUGCUUCCAACUGUUUAUUGAUCUCAAUAUGCAAAUCACGCAAAUGUUGUGCAAAAGACUCAGCUGACACAGACACACUAGCAUGUGGAGACAUGGGAAUAAGGUCUAAUGGCUUCCUAGGCUUAAAACCAUGAACAACUUCAAAAGGACUCAUACCUAUAGACCGAUUCACUGAACUGUUAUAUGCAAGUUGGGCAGUAGGAAGAAUUAAGUCCCAAUUCCUAAGAUUUUCUUGGACUAGACACCUUAAUAGAUUACCAGGAUUGCGGUUAACAACUUCAGUUUGACCAUCCGUUUGUGGGUGGUAUGUAGUAGAAAAUUUCAGUUUAGUGCCAACCAUACUCCAUAGGGUUCGCCAAAGAUGACUAGUGAAAUGAACAUCUCUAUCCGAGAUAAUGGUCUUAGGGAGACCAUAUAGCCUGACGAUCUUAUGAUAGUAUAAUUUAGCAACCUUAGAUGCAUCGGAUGUUUUGUUACAGGGAAUAAAGUGUACCAUCUUCGAGAAGCAAUCGACUACAACGAAAAUGGAGUCGUGUUUCUUUGGAGUACGUGGCAACCCUAGCACGAAAUCCAUACUAACGUCUUGCCAAGGACAACUAGGGACGGGGAGAGGAGUGUGGUUGGUAAUGCCUUUUGGACUAACCAAUGCUCCAAGUACCCCCUACUGAAGCCCAAUCCCUCCUUCAAGAAUUUAAGGAUGUAUUUCCUGAGGACCUCCCUGAUUUAUUGCCUCCCUUACGGGAUAUCCAACAUGCUAUAGAUCUGGUUCCAGGUUCGUCUCUCCCAAAUUUGCCUCACUAUAGAAUGAGAGUUCACCCACUUGUCUCUGGAGCUCGGCAUGUUCAGUAGGGUUCAUUCUAUAGUGAGGCAAAUUUGGGAGAGACGAACCUGGAACCAGAUCUAUAGCAUGUUGGAUAUCCCGUAAGGGAGGCAAUAAAUCAGGGAGGUCCUCAGGAAAUACAUCCUUAAAUUCUUGAAGGAGGGAUUGGGCUUCAGUAGGGGUUGCUAGUGGGGAAUCGGACGGGACUUCCAUAACAAACACAGCAAAUACGAUUGAGUCAUUUACGAUUGUCCGUUCAAACUCUGUAGGGCUAAUCACAUGUAAUCCUUUCCUCUCGCCAACCUUUUUGGUUUAGUGUAAGAUCAUAUAUGGUGUGACGUCAUCCCUAUGGAUGUCGGGCAUGUCAUUCUUGGUCGACCUUGGUUGUUCGAUCUACCUCCUCGACGGGGUCGAGUUUUUCUCCCACCCCGGGAGAGUUGAUGCGGACAUCAUCCUCAUCGGGCCACUUGUUGGGCCAUUUUAUCUUCUAUGUACUUAUUUUAGGUUUUAUGUUUUAUUGGGCUUGUAUAUGGGUUUGGCCCAAGCCCAAGUUUAUUAAUUUGGUAUUUAUAUUAUUGUAAUUGGAUUGAAAUGGCAGUUUUGAUGAAAUGAAAUAGAUGUGGUGAUAUCGUUUCUCUCCUCUCCUCCCUUCCUCCUUCAGUUUGUUCUUCCUCUUCUUCUUUUCUCCUUGGCCAAUUCUACAUCAUGAAACAUCCUCAAUUCAUAUACAUAAUUGGAUAUGAAGAAAGCAAUAAUAUUAUUAAAUCAAACAACGCCAAGUUAUAGAGCAAUCAACUAGGAGUGGAAAUCUCAGAAGGGAAAAAAAAUUAGCCUGGUACCAAAAUCUCCAGAGUUGACAGUGACUAACCAACGGUGUUAUUUAACGCAAUUCAUAAUGACCAAU
Molecule: long non-coding RNA, 5421 nt
Filed under: Olea europaea (common olive)
Lineage: Eukaryota; Viridiplantae; Streptophyta; Magnoliopsida; Lamiales; Oleaceae
Description: long non-coding RNA (OEUR_LNC006833)
Source: RNAcentral